RNAcentral lists this ribosomal RNA (1291 nucleotides) under Cronobacter malonaticus. Its description in RNAcentral is "bacterial LSU rRNA". It matches the Rfam family "Bacterial large subunit ribosomal RNA", at positions 1549 to 2822 of the family's 2925-position model. Lineage: Bacteria; Pseudomonadati; Pseudomonadota; Gammaproteobacteria; Enterobacterales; Enterobacteriaceae. The record is from RNAcentral.
GUUAAGGCUGAGGCGUGAUGACGAGGCACCACGGUGCUGAAGUGACAAAUGCCCUGCUUCCAGGAAAAGCCUCUAAGCAUCAGGUAACAUCAAAUCGUACCCCAAACCGACACAGGUGGUCAGGUAGAGAAUACCAAGGCGCUUGAGAGAACUCGGGUGAAGGAACUAGGCAAAAUGGUGCCGUAACUUCGGGAGAAGGCACGCUGACAUGUAGGUGAAGCCCCUGCGGGUGGAGCUGAAGUCAGUCGAAGAUACCAGCUGGCUGCAACUGUUUAUUAAAAACACAGCACUGUGCAAACACGAAAGUGGACGUAUACGGUGUGACGCCUGCCCGGUGCCGGAAGGUUAAUUGAUGGGGUUAUCGCAAGAGAAGCUCCUGAUCGAAGCCCCGGUAAACGGCGGCCGUAACUAUAACGGUCCUAAGGUAGCGAAAUUCCUUGUCGGGUAAGUUCCGACCUGCACGAAUGGCGUAAUGAUGGCCAGGCUGUCUCCACCCGAGACUCAGUGAAAUUGAACUCGCUGUGAAGAUGCAGUGUACCCGCGGCAAGACGGAAAGACCCCGUGAACCUUUACUACAGCUUGACACUGAACAUUGAGCCUUGAUGUGUAGGAUAGGUGGGAGGCUUUGAAGCGUGGACGCCAGUCUGCGUGGAGCCAACCUUGAAAUACCACCCUUUAAUGUUUGAUGUUCUAACCUGGCGCCGUGAUCCGGCGUGGGGACAGUGUCUGGUGGGUAGUUUGACUGGGGCGGUCUCCUCCCAAAGUGUAACGGAGGAGCACGAAGGUCAGCUAAUCCUGGUCGGACAUCAGGAGGUUAGUGCAAUGGCAUAAGCUGGCUUGACUGCGAGAGUGACGGCUCGAGCAGGUGCGAAAGCAGGUCAUAGUGAUCCGGUGGUUCUGUAUGGAAGGGCCAUCGCUCAACGGAUAAAAGGUACUCCGGGGAUAACAGGCUGAUACCGCCCAAGAGUUCAUAUCGACGGCGGUGUUUGGCACCUCGAUGUCGGCUCAUCACAUCCUGGGGCUGAAGUAGGUCCCAAGGGUAUGGCUGUUCGCCAUUUAAAGUGGUACGCGAGCUGGGUUUAGAACGUCGUGAGACAGUUCGGUCCCUAUCUGCCGUGGGCGCUGGAGAAUUGAGGGGGGCUGCUCCCAGUACGAGAGGACCGGAGUGGACGCAUCACUGGUGUUCGGGUUGUCAUGCCAAUGGCACUGCCCGGUAGCUAAAUGCGGAAGAGAUAAGUGCUGAAAGCAUCUAAGCACGAAACUUGCCCCGAGAUGAGUUCUCCCUGAGACU